CAUUUAAGUCUGAGUAUGACACCAUGGCAAGGAACAUUAACAAGGACGGCUCAGCAGAUUAUGGUAUACUGUAUUUCAAAUUAACAGUCGUUGGGGGUGUGAGGAUAGAGAGACACCAGGCUCCAAGAAUGCCUGUAAAAUCUCUUGUAAUGCACUGCAGAAUGAUGACAUCACUGAUGACAUUAAAUGUGCCAAGCGAGUGGUCCGGAACCCCAGUGGACCCCAACCAAUCUGGAUGGAUUGGAGGCAUUACUUGCUGAAAAAGACCUAAUAAAAUACAAAGAAGAUUGUGACCUGUACUGAAGAUAUCCAACGUGCACCACUCCCGCAACUGGACAACCAGAACAAUUUAGCUUUCCUCUACAUAUUGCUUCAAAAUUAACUAAUGUAUUGAACUGCCCUGUCUUCGAUUCCCUGCUUUCUUAAAAUACCCUU
This is a long non-coding RNA of Erpetoichthys calabaricus (reedfish), 435 nucleotides long. RefSeq lists it as uncharacterized. The transcript has 3 exons. The record is from RefSeq and is a predicted model, not a curated record. Lineage: Eukaryota; Metazoa; Chordata; Cladistia; Polypteriformes; Polypteridae.